AUUGAACGCUGGCGGCAUGCUUUACACAUGCAAGUCGAACGGUAACAGGUUAAGCUGACGAGUGGCGAACGGGUGAGUAAUGCAUCGGAACGUGCCCGGUCGUGGGGGAUAACGCAGCGAAAGCUGCGCUAAUACCGCAUACGAUCUGAGGAUGAAAGCGGGGGACCGUAAGGCCUCGCGCGAUCGGAGCGGCCGAUGUCAGAUUAGGUAGUUGGUGGGGUAAAGGCUCACCAAGCCAACGAUCUGUAGCUGGUCUGAGAGGACGACCAGCCACACUGGGACUGAGACACGGCCCAGACUCCUACGGGAGGCAGCAGUGGGGAAUUUUGGACAAUGGGCGAAAGCCUGAUCCAGCAAUGCCGCGUGCAGGAAGAAAGCCUUCGGGUUGUAAACUGCUUUUGUACGGAGCGAAAAGGCCUCCUCUAAUACAGGGGGCUCAUGACGGUACCGUAAGAAUAAGCACCGGCUAACUACGUGCCAGCAGCCGCCGUAA
RNAcentral lists this ribosomal RNA (493 nucleotides) under uncultured bacterium. RNAcentral's name for it is "partial 16S ribosomal RNA". It matches the Rfam family "Bacterial small subunit ribosomal RNA", at positions 29 to 523 of the family's 1533-position model. The record is from RNAcentral.